This 572-nucleotide unclassified non-coding RNA is filed under the name Memecylon magnifoliatum. RNAcentral's name for it is "partial external transcribed spacer". The record is from RNAcentral. Lineage: Eukaryota; Viridiplantae; Streptophyta; Magnoliopsida; Myrtales; Melastomataceae.
GCAUGGCUUGUAUUGAUCUCAUACUAACGUGUCCGAUGCUUUAUGAGUGGGUUUCCCCUCAUCAGUGGAUGGCUAGUUGGUGGUGGUUGAUCUUCCAAUGGGACGACGCAUGAGUGGUGAUUAGGAUGUGCUUUCAUGUAGGCUCUGCGUAUCAUACGUUGAACUGUGUGGAGCCAACCGUUUCAGUAAUCCAUUGCGCUUGUCUUUUGCAAGUUGCAAAAAGAUUGGGUGGUUUCUGUGUUGGCUAUUGAUUUUGGUAUGCGUGAUUUGAUGGAAUCCAUUGUGAUUUGUUCUUCUGCCAUUGGCUUGUCCAGUGAAGGGGGAUGUCGUACCGAUCUCCCAUGUUCCACACAAGUUAUCCCCUUAUGGGAGUGUAUUUGUGAUGGCUCAUGGGUGGUUGUCUAUGCUCUCGGGUAUGUGAAAUAUUCGGUUGUCGUUCGGGUCUUUGACCCAUACGUAUCAUUUCUUGAGCACGUAGCUUUAAUUUGUAUGACCCUCGAGCUUGUUCCUAAGUUCACUGAGCCGUAGUGCUUGUUGUUGAUCAGGGAGAUGCCGAGGUCUAUGAGUAAUGC